AAGCUAGCAACAUCGUCUCAAAAACAGCUAGGGCUUUUCUAGUUCCUAUUGCUAUAGUAUAUACACACACCAUAUAUAGAUACUCUGCCUGAUAUUUCCAAUGUAGUGUGACAUAAAUGGCUCAAGCAGAUUUAUGUUCUCCUACAGAAGGUAAUGUACCUUGAACUAAAUUAUUUUCAUUUACUGACAACUGGCAACAAGGGAUAUGGGCAUGUAGCAUACCGUGAAAGAAAAUUCUCUUUUUACAUUCCCAUAAGACUAAAAAAAACAUGUGUGGGACCUCUGUUCCCCAGUUCACAGGGCAGACCUUUGGGAAAUAGAGCUGAACACAGACAAAAAUGAGUGCAGGCCCAGGAUAAGAGGCAAAGAUGAUAAUAUAGGUGCAGCCUACUCAAGAGUUAAUCAAAGUACACCACCAAGAAUAAGUCAUUUCAAGAAUUAUCAUCAAUGAACUUGCUUGAACCCAGCCCAGCUGCUGUGUGCAGCUUCAAACAGUUGCUACACUCUCCCUCCCUUGCCUAUCACAACUUUCUGGAAAAUUGUGGAGUAACUGUUACAGCUACAAAGAAAUCUGCCGAAAAGUUGGCACCAAAGCUUUGUCUGAUGUUCAGAGACCUAAGCAACUUUACUGGAUCAAUAAGAAGCACUGAUCCAUUCAGGAAGCCUUUCCUGGACUUCUCCCUUGUGGCAGCUCCAGAGCUUUAACACUCCAGGUGGAGUGGAUCUGGCUCCAGGUAGAGUCUGUCAGUAUUUUCAUCAGAGUAUAUAUCUUUCAUAAACAUGAAAAAGGCAGGUUUAGAAGUACUCAAGAACUCUUAGAAUCAGAUUUCAUUUUAUCACGUUCUUUGCCUAAACCAAUAAAACAAACUUCCCUUAAACUCCUGAUAAUACAUUGGGAAACACUUUUAUUUCUCUGUUGCAAUGCUCUACAAGAAAUUGUAUUAUUUUCUGCUUUUUAAAUACUAUAUGUGUGCCAUUUCCCUUGAAAUAUGUUAAAAAAAAAAAAAAGUAAAGAUGUUUAAAAU
Molecule: long non-coding RNA, 1025 nt
Filed under: Gallus gallus (chicken)
Lineage: Eukaryota; Metazoa; Chordata; Aves; Galliformes; Phasianidae
Description: lncRNA (ENSGALG00010002924.1)
Source: RNAcentral